Long non-coding RNA from Numida meleagris (helmeted guineafowl), 9134 nucleotides. RefSeq lists it as uncharacterized. NCBI's taxonomy places the organism in Eukaryota, Metazoa, Chordata, Aves, Galliformes, Numididae. The transcript is spliced from 3 exons. The record is from RefSeq and is a predicted model, not a curated record.
GGUUGGCUUUCUGGGCUGCAAGGGCACAUUGCUGGUUCAUGUCCAGCUUCCCAUCCACGAGUACCCCCAAGACUUGUUAUAUUAGCACACAGCAGUACACACUACUGUUGCAUGGCCUGUGUUUUUUGGGAAGACUUUUGAAAUUUAAUUUUUUAUUCAACUUCUGCUGAUGUAAUAUAUUAAAAUAUGUCUGAAGUUGAUGCUGGUUGAGUGAAACUUAAAACACAUCGGUGUGAUUGUGUCUUUCAGUGAGGAAGCCAAUAAUCUCCCUUUUUGGAAUAAAAAUGGAAAUGAAUGGAUUCAGUGCCCAAAACAUCGUCCCUGGAUGAUUAAGAAAAAUAAAAGGAUGAUAUAAGGAUUUUUCUAGGGCCCAAAUUCAGAUUGGUGCAAUAAGGUACUGCUACGAGUGUGCAUUUUCCAGAGUAACCAGGAGACAGGCAGAAAAAGAAGGGAGCUAAAACGCCCUGGAGACAGCCAGAAAACAGAGCUGGAAAUGGGACCCUGAGAGAAUGGCUGAAACAUCUCUUUAUAGGCUUGAGUGCUGGCUAGAAAAUGACAAAGAAAUUAUCUCUGAUUUGAUUCCAGCUAUCUUCAAGGCUUUUGUACUUUCUUUCUUCUUUUGUGCAAAAUCAACAGGAUUGCAUAAAAAAUACCUGAAUCCCUCAGCAUUUUCUCCUCCCAAUGGAAACAACUUGAAAUGACACUGAACAAUGAUCAAACAGCAUAACAUACAGCUCCUUAUGAAAGUAGCUGUAUUUUUGUAGUCAGAAGGGAGAGGGCCUUGAGCUUUCCUCAUAGCUAUUUAAUGCAUCAAAAUUUUAUGCUCCUCUGAUACGUGGACCUUGGAUAUAAGCCAACAACCACCAAAGUCAGUAGGAACUUCCCAAAGCCCAUGGAAGCCAAUAGUAGUAGAUCAGGUGGUUGAUGGUAGAUAGAUUAAUAGUCAAAAUGCUCUCUCCAGAGUGUAACUUACAGGUUGGUUGUUUCAGAACUGAAGCAGUGUUAAAGAAUUCAAUCUCGAAUGAUAAAUAGACUUGUAAGCCUAUCAUCGUUCCUUUUUAUAAAGCCAGCUUUGAUAUAGUGGAGCUAGAAGAAGGUGUUAGCUGAGGCUUUAGCUAGCAUACAGGCAACAGGGAUGUGUUAUUACAGGAGGCACAGUGCUGUAAGUCACAGUUACGGUUUAAUGAUAAGUCUUCUCAUACGCAACCCAUCCCCAGCAAAAUCCUCCUUUGGCUCUCUUGUUCCCAGAUUUGAGAUCCUGACCUUCGCUCAAAAACUCUUUUUAUGCUGAUAAACCCUUACAGAAAGAGCAUGGGCAGGAGCAAUGCCUGAUCAGCUGCACAGAGGAAAAACUGCUAGCAUUCCUUUUCAUAAUCAAUUCCGGUUCCUUGUGGAGAAACUUACGUUGGGGUGGAUUUUAUCACCAGUGCAUUAACUUGGGUGCGGGUAAGGGAUGUAGAAGGGGAGCACACAGUUCUUCCAUUAACAUUAUUGAAUGUUUUGGGCUUGCUUCUAAAGGAAACUCUCUGUUUUUCCUCUGGACUCUCAGACAGCUCAGAAAUCAGUAAAUCACAUAAAUCACACCAGGAGAGGAAGGUAUGAUAUUUUCUUUUUUAAACCAGCUCUUCUGUGUUUUGUCUUGCCUGCAAAAUCCUUCCUGCUUCUCAAAUGCAAGAUAACAUAGGCAGAAAAGAUGUAAUUAUAAACUGCAGUUUUCAUUUCAUAUUCUUGAAGUAAGAAUGGGGCAAAAAUAGAUAUGUUAAUGAUCUCCUAUCAUCAUCACAUCCUCUUCAGCUAAUAUGGGAAGAGGACACAAAAUUACCUGGACAGAGACUAAGCAUAUUGACUUCAGUUAUUCCUUAGCUGAAGCUGUUUUUCAGUGUGUGAGCACGAAAAGCUUCAAGGAACAAUGCAUAAAAAUGCUAUUAUCUUCAGGGAAAAAAAAGCAAUAUUCAGCUGGCUUGACCACUGUACAGGUGAAAGCACGGCGUGUACCAAGACUGUUGAGUAUAUUUGCAUGAGAUUAGUUAAAUCAUCGAAGGAAAAUGUCCCCCCCGUCUGCCUCACUCUAUGCUCAGCUGCUGAGGAACUUGGAAGCAAAAGCAGCAAUGAAGAUGCAGAGCUGCAUGAGCAGUGCCAUUAUUAUUCUGAUAAAAGAAGAGGCCAAGGAGGCAGAAGGAGGGAGACGAGUGGUGGGAAACACUAGUGGGGAAAUGAGCGGCUCUGGUCUCUGCUGUGGUCAAAGUCACAGCAGGCAACAUGGGGCAAAUGUGCCUGAAGCGUCUGAGAUCUCUUUGUUGUACUUGACUUCAUCUUGAACAGAACUUCAUGGCACCAAAACCCACGGGCUUUGUUGGGGGGGUACAGCACGCGUCAGCACUUCCCUAUGAAAUGCGAGUCAUUUGGCAGAAUGAGCACCCCCUGCCCCUUCUCCGCAGCGCUAAUAGCCUACCUGGACAUGAGAGGCAGUUUCCUAUCUCUGCCUUUGUGCUGUGUGCAGCAGGAAUCUGAUCGCAGUUGGGGUCUCUGGGAAAGGCAGCGAUGCCAGUAAUAACUCCCACAGCAUCGGCUGCAUGACAUUACCCAGGUUCUGACUGCCGAUACAAUACAAUAAUAUUUGCUGAAGCUGAGGCAGACGCUGGCCUUCCCAGCGUAGCUUUAGUAUGUGCCUGCCAGGAUGGAUGGGGCCUUUUUGUGGACUGGUUUUGUGUUGUUCCAAAGCCUUCACAGGCAAUUUGGAAAAUAUGUCCCCAGGACAUUGUGCUUUGGAAAACAGGCAUAGGGGUUGGGAUGUGUUAGCUCAGCUGCAGUUUUAUUGGCAGUAUGGGACAUGAAAUAACACAAAGUUUUCAUCUGGCUGUAGAAAUGACUAAAUAGAAGUACUUUACGACUUCGGGAAAGUUACAUUCUUGUCAUGUUUCAGCAUUUGCAGAUACAACAGAUGAAGCAAAUGAAAUUAUGCAUGCACUAAAAGAAUGCAUUGUUAGCUACAGUCUUUAUUAACUUGCCUGGAAAUAAAUAAACACAAGUAACUAGAAGAUGUACCUUGAAGAUUUGGUAGACUUUUUUUUUUUUGCUUUAUGCCUACACAUGUAUGUGUCCGUGUACCUGUAGGUGACCUAUCAGCCAUGCCUGCAGUGUUUGUUACCUGGUGGAUCACACUGUGUUAAGAGAAGCCGCAUGACUGCACAUCCCUCAUUUGCAUUCCAGUUGGAUACAGCUUUAGCAAUUUGUUUAUGCAACUAAAUGUAUGCAAUCAUCAAUAACACAGUCUGCAAUAAGUCCCAAUUAACGUUGCUGCAGGAACCUUCCUUCAUGUUUGUGCUGGCUUCUGUAGAUUUAAAAUGCUCAACCUUAAUGAUGCAUUAAUGUUGUUUUCUUUCUUUCUUUCUUUUUUUUAAUGCUGUGCUUGCAGUAUCAGGUCCACCAUUUAUUUUGUUCUCUUUGCCCAGUGGGGACACUUUUUCCACUGACUGUUUAAUAAGAAGCCUUCAUGAAUACAAAAACCAUUUAUCUUUAUUAGUUGAGUAUUUUUGCUCGUCACUUCUCUUAUUUUUAUGAAUUAAAUAUUUAUUGAUUUUUUUUCCACAAAGAAAAAUGCCCCACUGCUCACUGAGAACAAUUACACCAGCUAUGUACAGGGAACAAGAACCAUAAGCAAAGCAAACUUAUGUCUGUAAGUCAUGUCAGAAGUGACAGGAAUUGCGUGUCCUCUAAUAUAGAAUCAUAGAAUGGCUUGGGUUGGAAGGGACCUUGCAGCCCACCCAGUUCCAGUCCCCUGUUGUAUGCAGGGCUGCCACCAUCAGACCAGGCUGCCCAGGGCCCACCCAACCUGGAUGUGAACGCUUCUUUUAGUUUAAAGCCAUUCCCCCUUGUUCUAUCACUGUCAGACCUGACUGGUCAUCCCCAUCACCCUGAUAUCUCAUGUGAACUACCAGCACCUUUAAGUGUUUGUAAGAACAGGAUUGCCUCCUCGAGUUUCAAUUGCAAGCUGAAAACUGUCAGGAAUAAUUCUAAAAAUGGUUUCCCCUCCCCAGCAGUAUUCUGCAUUGCCUGACAUUAUCAUGCUAGAUAUUUAAUUAUCAUGAGAUCAAUUUAUUAAUAUGAUUAAUAUAAUCCUAUAUGCUUCAUAUUUGACACAGGUUCAGGUUGGAUAUUAGGAAAGAUUUCAUCUCAGAAGAGCGGUGGGACAUUGGCACAGGCUGCCCAAGGAGGUGGUGGAGGCACAAUCCCUGGAGGUGUUCGAGAAAGGUGGAGAUGAGGCACUGAGGAAUGUGGGUUCAUGUGCUUGCUGGUGAUGUGGUGGUUGAACUAGAUGAUCUUAGAGGUGUUUUCCAACCUUAGUGAUUCUGUGACUCUAUGAUUCUAUACGGUCUUCAAAUUUUAUCUCUUACUCCUUUAAUUCCCAAGGGUAUCUUAACAAUGCUUUGGAUUACUGCAUGCUCUUGGGAUAGUUACUUUUGGGCUUGUUGGAGCAGGAAAAAGAGAGCAGCUGUACCAAGAGCAGAAAACCUUGUGGGACCAGGGCUUCUGGGCAAGGCUGUGCCUUUGCCCCAGUCACCUGGGAGUCUAGGCAGGGAAGAGCUGGAUGAGUGGCACUUGCUAACCCACCAUCUUGGCUGUGUGCUCUUCCCUUGGAUUUCCUGUUCUCAGAGGUCUCAUCAGUCUUGUAUAAAUUCAGUUAUUGCUGAGCCUUAUACCUCUGAGACUCCUUUGAAUUGAGUUGAAGUUGGCUUCAAGAGAGAAAGUGGCAGAGUGCAGUAGAGUAGGUCUUUUCUCCUUAGGACACAGGCUAAUGAUCCUGGCCUCUGCUUGCCCUCCUCUUCCAUCCUACAGAUCUUGGCAGCUGAGAUUAAAGUGUUUUAGUGCCCCUGGUAGAAAUCAUCUCCACAAAUCACCUUUCCUCAGGCAAAUACUGCCUCUGGGGAUGCAGCCAGCACUCUGAACCCUGCAAUCCAAAUUGGCCAGCAGGAAGCUCAUUACUGACUCCCUCAAAGCCUGCAGGAUGCCCCGAAGACCCAGACUUUGGUACAUGUUUUCAGGAUGGAGGGAGCUUGGCAAAGAAAGGGAGCUUCUGUCCCUGGGCCUUGACCUCCGCAAGAGGUUCCCUCAGCCGCUGCAGGCCCACAGCUGGGGCUCAGCUGCACAAGUUUCAGGUAGUUUCUGAACACCCAGCUGUAAUUACUUCUUUUCUUUAAGGAAGCCAUGAUUAAUAGCUCUUUGGGUUGGAUGGCUGCCAGUGGCACCAUCAGUGGGAUGACUUCUCCAAUGAGAACAAGACAAGAGCCUGGACCUUCAGCAACAAGGCAGGAUGGUCCUCUCCAAAUUGCCUCAGGUGUAAGAAAUGAGGAUUUCCUUCCUCUCUGGGCAACAACAAACUGUGCAGGAGGGAUACUGACUGAUCUCAGCUGGGCUUACACCACAGGUGACGUGGGAUCAUCCUAAGGAAGCACAAGCAGUCAAACCAGGCAGGCAGAUUCCUUGGGCUUCUUACUCUAUCCUUGCUUCAGUGGUCUGCCAUGAAAACCAGUUUUUGGUUUGGAGUUUGCUUUUGCUUUCUAAUGGAACAGAAACACUGUUUACACUGUUGUAGUUUUCGUUAUCUGCACUUUUUUUCCCCUGCAACUGCAGUAAUGUCACCUCCCUCCCACUUCUCUGGGCACAGAGACAUCCGUCAAAUGCCCACAGCGAGUUUGUCACGAAAUGCCUUCUGACAGGAAUGGCAGCUUGCAGCCCGCAGCUAUGAAGGAUGUUAUGAAGAUCAGCGCGAGGACGGUACAUGGGGCAAAUGCUGAGGGCUUGUGGCCGUGUCUGUGCUGUUAUAUCUCAUUCUGUUGAAACACUCCUGGAACGAUAAUUUGCUCAUAACCGGAGCCACACUUCUCAGGAAAAUGAAAGGCAGCAGAACUAGAAGAAAUUCUCUGCGCCCCCUGACAGGUAAUGCCUUCCUCAGGGACAGGCCUUCCUCUCACUGAAGGCACACACACCGCCGUGGAGUUGACCACACUGUGAGAUGAGAACCCUGAGGGCCAUGGUCUGCCCAGGGGUCCAUCUGGAAGCACUGUUAACAUCCACAGCUUGUAUGGUGUGGUGAGCAACCCACAUGCAAAGAUGUAUGUCUUUUUCCUCUGUCCUCCCCCUCUGGAGUUUCUAGAGAAACAAAUUUCCACUGGAAGACCCACUCCUUUGGCUGCUGUGCUGCUUGCUUGCACUGAGGUGUGCAGAGCGGCAGCUCCAUACUGCUGUGCUCACCCUGAGCAAAAACCCUGAGGUGUCUCCAAGGCGCCCGUGCCCGUGGGGAGACCGCAGAGCCCUGCAGCAGGCUCAUCGCUGCCAGCUGAAAGCAGCCCAGCUACAUGUGACAGUGAGUGAUGGUGUAUUCUCCUGUGGUGUCACUCAAGUCACGGCUUCACCCUUGUUGUGUUCGUGAUGAAAGGUACUCUACUCCUGCUCCUCCUUCUCCUCCCCAGGACUGACUCUUUGAAAACCACGGCUGGCUUUCAAGAGCUGGCAGUUGAAAGAGAGAACAACGCGCUGCCCAUUAAAGCUAACCCUCCUGAGUGAGCUCAUGGGAAAAUCGGAUCCAACCUGUCUGUCUGAGCACUAUUUAUCAGCACUGCUACUCGAGGAUUAGGCAGCCUGGCCUCACCGUGCCGAUGACAGUCAGUGAAAGCAGCUGUUUAUAUUUCAAACUUUCUGAUGUAGCAGAAAGUCACAAGCUCAUACCUUUGGGUUUUUUUUCCUCUUUUUCUUUUUUUUGGCAAAGCCUCUAGAGAAACAAACAGUACUUAAAGAAUUCAGAAUGUUGCUGCCUACAUUUAUAUAAACAUUUCAGGAUGCUGAUGUCACAUCCUACACCGCAUCCCAACCUCAGCAAGCAUGAAGACUUCUCUUUUGAGCUGUGAAGAAGAACAGGAUUCACCUGACAGACCAGCACUGAUGUCUGGGAAGCUGAGCGGAUCUACGCUGUGCUUGAAUUGUGAGGACAACUCAGCUCACACAUGGGGCUGUGGUCCCCGUGCCCAAUCCCAGUACUCUGCAAAUACAGCCUUCUAAGGUUCGCACAGCCCAGCCUAGCUGUAGUGCCCACAGGAGUGGGGUUUUCAGUCAGGUCUGGCCAAAAUACAGCUGUUGUACCCCUUUUUGGUUGAGAACUGUUCAAAUAGGGCAUUUCCAGGCUGGAUGUAGCCCUGGGCAGCCUGGUCUAGUGGAUGGCAACCCUGCACUCAGCAGGGGGUUGAAACUAGAUGAUCUUUGAGGUCCUUUUCAACCCAGGCCAUUCUGUGAUUCUGUUCCCUGGGUUAUUGGUUUCAGGUGGCCCAUUUGGGUGCAAGAGCUUGGAGGAUGAUGAGAGGCAGCUGGGGGAUGAAGGGUUGCCUCAGACCUUCUGCUGUCUGAGCGCAAGAGGUAGGAUUGCUGGGAUUCUUCUGGUUAUUCUCUUCAUGGUGGCUCCAACGUUGUCCCUCCUGCUCUGAGUUCCCUCAGAUAUGUGCCCUGAGCUCCUACUGUGUGGGGGUUUUGCUAUAUCACUUUUAUUGUGCAGUAGAAAGGCUUCAGAGCUGCUAAGUGGAUGUGUAUUGUUGGGCACCAGGUCAUUCCUGCUCUCCUGCAGCGUGUCAGAAGGGGCUCCAUGCCCAGCUGCUGUUGGAGGACUCCUACUCUCUACCCUAGUGGCUAAGUGGAGCUCUGUGCUGCCACUUUCAUGAUACCCCAGGGAGUACUUUUUUUCAGCCAUCACUUAUUGCAAAAGCACACUGAUCAGCAGGUUCCAGCCUGGUAGGAAUAGUAACCUGUCUUGCUUCGUGUUACUUGAGAGUCAGCACUUCCACCAGAUGAGACUGAGGGAUAAGGAAUGUUUAUUUAGGAGUGUGGAUGUGUGAUAUUAGAAUAAAGUUUAUAAAAGAAAACAGAAACUCUGUACUUAAGCGUAGUUUUUUCUGUAGCUAUUCCUGCAGCCCUGCUAGUUCUUUAGGGCAGCAUGAUAGCUACCUUCUACAGAGGCUGCCAUAUUCUGGAGUGCUUUCUGCUGCCUCUUCCUCCACUCUUAAAGGUGGCUGUUAAAGAAACUGUUCUGAUCACCCUGUUCCUUCCCUCUGCCAUAUAGAAGAACAUUCCUUCUUCUUGUUUGGUUACCCUGUUGUACCCUGUGAAUUAUCUCCAGGAACUUCUAUGGCUCCAUAAGGACUUCUGCCUCACCCUCCCACUCUUUCAGGUUACUGAAUUUACAUUUCUGUUGUAUAAGUAAUGACCUCAUUCCUGGACUCAGGCAUCUGUUUGCUUACGAAAACAGCACAGUGUGACUCCAUAAGUGAUAUGAGAAAUGCUAACAGUACAAACUCCUUUUAUGAUUUGUAACUGCUAGUUUGCCACAGACUUUGCACAAGGGCUAAAUGCUUGGACACGGACAAAGGGUGACCAGAGGAUGUGGUUGCCAACACGGUACCACACUUGGCUCCCAUUGCAUUAGGUUUUCAGGACUCCACCCCAACCAGCUACAGAGGAGAUGCUGGGUUUUCCAUAGCCAAUAAAAAGCAAAUCCCAUGUCUGUUGUCGUGCCCAUUAUUGCAGUGUGAUGCUGCUUUUGCAGGGAUUUUUCCACAUCAGUACCAUUGGCAAAUGCAUGCCCACAGAAGCGGGGGACCUCCAGUACUCAACUGGUGGCCUUGAGGAAAGGCUGCUCCAGCUCUGCCAUGGUCAGAACCCAGCAAUACCCCACCAAGGAAAUGGCAUUUUACUGACGCAAAAGAGAGGGCAUGGGUUAAUGGGCUCUGGAGGAAAGAGCUCGCUGUAUCUGCCAAGCCUGUUAUUGCCCCUUGAGCUUUGCGUGCAGAUGGGUGUGCAAGAGCUCAUAAGUUCUCCUCCUCUUCCUUUGAUGUGCCCAAAAGCGUCCACAGGGCUUGAGUGCUAUAGAUUCAGCAGUCCCAUGGAUAGGCCAUGCCCUUUGCUGAGACUGCUGAGAGUUACUGUUCUCAAUUUUGUUGCUGCAGUUAACCCCUUCAAGGAGAUCAGAGAUGCCUAGGGUGCCUCACCUUUAUCCCCUGCCCUGCUGCCAGAGGAACCAAGCGACAAAAAAGUACUACUUAACAUCAGCAGAGCCACAGUUCUCAAAUCCUGCUGAAAUGACUGAGAUCACA